RNAcentral lists this small RNA (28 nucleotides) under Bombyx mori (domestic silkworm). RNAcentral describes it as "ovarian small RNA-14989". Lineage: Eukaryota; Metazoa; Arthropoda; Insecta; Lepidoptera; Bombycidae. The record is from RNAcentral.
CUUCGAUGGAGAAGUGAGCCGGCGUUGC